UGGGCGAAAGCCUGAUCCAGCCAUGCCGCGUGUGUGAAGAAGGUCUUCGGAUUGUAAAGCACUUUAAGUUGGGAGGAAGGGCAGUAAAUUAAUACUUUGCUGUUUUGACGUUACCUACAGAAGAAGCACCUGGCUAACUCUGUGCCAGCAGCCGCGGUAAUACAGAGGGUGCAAGCGUUAAUCGGAAUGACUGGGCGUAAAGGGCGUGUAGGUGGAUACAUAAGUCAAAGGUGAAAUCCCCGGGCUUAACCUGGGAACUGCCUGUGAAACUGUGAAUCUAGAGUAUGGGAGAGGGAAGUGGAAUUUCCGGUGUAGCGGUGAAAUGCGUAGAUAUCGGAAGGAACACCAGUGGCGAAGGCGACUUCCUGGCCUAAUACUGACACUGAGGCGCGAAAGCGUGGGGAGCAAACAGGAUUAGAUACCCUGGUAGUCCACGCCGUAAACGAUGAGAACUAGAUGUUGGGUAGCUAAGGCUAUCUAGUAUCGUAGCUAACGCGAUAAGUUC
RNAcentral lists this ribosomal RNA (505 nucleotides) under uncultured bacterium. RNAcentral's name for it is "bacterial SSU rRNA". It matches the Rfam family "Bacterial small subunit ribosomal RNA", at positions 372 to 867 of the family's 1533-position model. The record is from RNAcentral.